RNAcentral lists this ribosomal RNA (403 nucleotides) under bacterium. RNAcentral describes it as "partial 16S ribosomal RNA". It matches the Rfam family "Bacterial small subunit ribosomal RNA", at positions 355 to 776 of the family's 1533-position model. The record is from RNAcentral.
UGGGGAAUAUUGCACAAUGGAGGGAACUCUGAUGCAGCGACGCCGCGUGAACGAAGAAGGCUUUCGAGUCGUAAAGUUCUUUUAUAUGGGAAGAUAAUGACGGUACCAUAAGAAAAAGCCCCGGCUAACUACGUGCCAGCAGCCGCGGUAAUACGUAGGGGGCUAGCGGUGUCCGGAAUCACUGGGCGUAAAGGGUUCGCAGGCGGAAAUGCAAGUCAGGUGUAAAAGGCAGUAGCUUAACUACUGUAAGCAUUUGAAACUGCAUAUCUUGAGAAGAGAAGAGGUAAGUGGAAUUUUUAGUGUAGCGGUGAAAUGCGUAGAUAUUAAAAAGAAUACCGGUGGCGAAGGCGACUUACUGGGCUCAUUCUGACGCUGAGGAACGAAAGCGUGGGUAGCAAACAGG